AUGGUAGGAUAGAGGCCUACCAUGGUUUUAACGGGUAACGGGGAAUUAGGGUUCGAUUCCGGAGAGGGAGCCUGAGAAACGGCUACCACAUCCAAGGAAGGCAGCAGGCGCGCAAAUUACCCAAUCCCGACACGGGGAGGUAGUGACAAUAAAUAACAAUAUGGGGCUCUUACGAGUCUUGUAAUUGGAAUGAGUACAAUUUAAAUCUCUUAACGAGGAACAAUUGGAGGGCAAGUCUGGUGCCAGCAGCCGCGGUAAUUCCAGCUCCAAUAGCGUAUAUNAAAGUUGUUGCAGUUAAAAAGCUCGUAGUUGAAUUUCGGGAUUUAUCCGUCGGUCGGGCUUUUGGGUCUGUACUGGCGUGAUAGAUUCCUACCUUCUGAAUAACCGGCAUGUCAUUAAUUUGGUGCGCCGGGGAAGCAGGACUGUUACCUUGAAAAAAUUAGAGUGCUUAAAGCAGGCUUAUGCCUGAAUACAUUAGCAUGGAAUAAUGAAAUAGGACGGCAUGGUUCUAUUUUGUUGGUUUCUAGGAUCACCGUAAUGAUUAAUAGGGAUAGUUGGGGGCAUUAGUAUUCAAUUGUCAGAGGUGAAAUUCUUGGAUUUAUUGAAGACUAACUUCUGCGAAAGCAUUUGCCAAGGAUGUUUUCAUUAAUCAAGAACGAAAGUUAGGGGAUCGAAGACGAUCAGAUACCGUCGUAGUCUUAGCCAUAAACUAUGCCGACUAGGGAUCGGACGAUGUUAAUUUUUUAAUGACUCGUUCGGCGCCUUACGGGAAACCAAAGUGUUUGGG
Molecule: ribosomal RNA, 787 nt
Filed under: uncultured Acaulospora
Lineage: Eukaryota; Fungi; Glomeromycota; Glomeromycetes; Diversisporales; Acaulosporaceae
Description: SSU rRNA
Rfam family: Eukaryotic small subunit ribosomal RNA
Source: RNAcentral